RNAcentral lists this ribosomal RNA (253 nucleotides) under uncultured bacterium. RNAcentral's name for it is "partial 16S ribosomal RNA". It matches the Rfam family "Bacterial small subunit ribosomal RNA", at positions 524 to 776 of the family's 1533-position model. The record is from RNAcentral.
UACGUAGGGUGCAAGCGUUGUCCGGAAUUACUGGGCGUAAAGCGUGCGCAGGCGGUUGUGCAAGACAGAUGUGAAAUCCCCGGGCUCAACCUGGGAAUUGCAUUUGUGACUGCACGGCUAGAGUGUGUCAGAGGGGGGUAGAAUUCCACGUGUAGCAGUGAAAUGCGUAGAGAUGUGGAGGAAUACCGAUGGCGAAGGCAGCCCCCUGGGAUAACACUGACGCUCAUGCACGAAAGCGUGGGGAGCAAACAGG